Molecule: ribosomal RNA, 442 nt
Rfam family: Bacterial large subunit ribosomal RNA (bases 80-442)
AUUAGUUUUUUAAUUGAAGGCUGGAAUGAAUGGUUGGACAAGAAAUAAUCUGUCUUAAUAAAAGAUAUUGAAUUUAACUUUUAAGUGAAAAGGCUUAAAUGAUCUGUAGGGACGAUAAGACCCUAUAAAACUUUAUAUUUAAGGGUAAAAGUUAUUUUUAUUUAUACAUUAUUAUCUAAGAAUGUUUGGUUGGGGUGACAAGGAUAGAAUAUUAAGUAACUGUCUUUUUUUUUAACAAUAAUAUUUGGUUUAGUGAUCCUAAAAAGGAUUAAAGAUUAAGUUACUUUAGGGAUAACAGCGUAAUUUUCUUUGAGAGUUCUUAUCGACGAGAAAGUUUGCGACCUCGAUGUUGAAUUAAAGGUUCUUUAUAGAGUAGAGACUAUAAUAGAAGGUCUGUUCGACCUUUAAAAUUUUACAUGAUUUGAGUUCAGACCGGUGUGAG